UUAGGAGUCUGAAAGGCAAAACCGUCAGACAAUCCGAAGACGUGAUGCGCAGCGAACUGAAGUAGCGAAGCUUCGGCCCCUAACUGCCAAGAAAAGCCGCUAUUGUUUGCAUGACACCCGUACCGUAAACCGACACAGGUGGAUGAGGAGAGAAUCCUAAGGCCGACGGGAGAAGCAUUGUUAAGGAACUCGGCAAAAUGACCCCGUAACUUCGGGAGAAGGGGUGCCUCGAAAGAGGCCGCAGAGAAUUGGCCCAAGCAACUGUUUAGCAAAAACACAGGUCUAUGCAAAACCGAAAGGUGAGGUAUAUGGGCUGACGCCUGCCCGGUGCUGGAAGGUUAAGAGGAGAGCUUACCGCAAGCGAAGGUUUGAAUUUAAGCCCCAGUAAACGGCGGCCGUAACAAUAACGGUCCUAAGGUAGCGAAAUUCCUUGUCGGGUAAGUUCCGACCCGCACGAAAGGCGUAAUGAUUUGGGCGCUGUCUCGACAAUGCACCCGGUGAAAUUGAAGUACCAGUGAAGAUGCUGGUUACCCGCGCCAGGACGGAAAGACCCCAUGGAGCUUUACUCUAGCUUGAUACUGGGAUUCGGUAUUGUCUGUACAGGAUAGGUGGGAGGCUAUGAACCGUGGACGCCAGUCUGCGGGGAGCCGCUGUUGGGAUACCACCCUUACAAUACUGGAUUUCUAACCUGCCGCCAUGACCUGGCGGAGGGACAAUGUCUGGUGGGGAGUUUGACUGGGGCGGUCGCCUCCGAAAGAGUAUCGGAGGCGCUCAAAGGUCCUCUCAGGAUGGACGGAAACCAUCCGAAGAGUGCAAAGGCAUAAGAGGGCUUGACUGUGACACCGACGGGUGGAGCAGGUACGAAAGUAGGACUUAGUGAUCCGGUGGUAGAAAGUGGGAUUGCCGUCGCUCAACGGAUAAAAGCUACCCUGGGAUAACAGGCUUAUCACUCCCAAGAGUUCACAUCGACGGAGUGGUUUGGCACCUCGAUGUCGGCUCAUCGCAUCCUGGGGCUGUAGCAGGUCCCAAGGGUUGGGCUGUUCGCCCAUUAAAGCGGUACGCGAGCUGGGUUCAGAACGUCGUGAGACAGUUCGGUCCCUAUCCGGCGCGGGCGUAGGAUAUUUGAGAGGAGCUGUCCUUAGUACGAGAGGACCGGGAUGGACGAACCGCUGGUGGAUCGGUUGCAUUAUCAAGUGCAUGGCCGAGUAGCCAAGUUCGGAAGGGAUAAACGCUGAAGGCAUCUAAGCGUGAAGCCCCCCUCAAGAUGAGAUAUCCCAUUCUUUAAAAGAAGUAAGACCCCUUGAAGACCACGAGGUAGAUAGGGCAGAGGUGGAAGUACGGUAACGUAUGGAGCUGACUGUCACUAAUCGGUCGAGGGCUUGACC
Molecule: ribosomal RNA, 1385 nt
Filed under: metagenome
Description: bacterial LSU rRNA
Rfam family: Bacterial large subunit ribosomal RNA
Source: RNAcentral